Molecule: long non-coding RNA, 1687 nt
Organism: Equus caballus (horse)
Lineage: Eukaryota; Metazoa; Chordata; Mammalia; Perissodactyla; Equidae
Source: Ensembl
GUUGUAUAUUCUUCGUUGUGGGUCCUUCUAGUUGUGGCAUGUGGGAUGCCGCCUCAGUGUGGUCUGAUGAGCAGUGCCAUGUCCGCGCCCAGGACUCGAACCAACGAAACACUGGGCUGCCUGCAGCAGAGUGCGCGAACUUAACUGCUCGGCCACGGGGCCAGCCCCUCAUUUAUCUUUUUUACAAACCAUUAUUGAUCGUUUGUGAAUUAUCUGUUGGAGUGUCCUGCCUGUAUUUCCCCAGGAAUGUCAGUUUAUGUCUCGACUGUCCUCAUCACCGAAUCUUCAGAAGAGUUUUGGGGCGUCCUGCAAACAUACAUGGGCAGGGGCGGUCGGUGGGAGGCAGUGUGGGGGCUUAUUUAGAAGGGGGUGUCUGGGAUCCCAGUACUGGUUUCUAACCACCGUUCUCUUGCUUACCAGCUCUGAAACACAGCCAGAGAGGUGCUCCCUAAAAUUCUGUUUCCACCAGUAAACUGGGUCUAACAGGAGUGCAUACCUGUCUCCUGGGCUAGAGUCAGCAAAUUCUGAAUGGACAGGAGAUAGUAAAUAUUUUUGGCUCUGCAGGACAUCUGUUCUCUGUUGCAGCCACCCACCUCUGCCGUUUUGGUUCUAAAGCAGCCACAGACACGUAAACGGAUGAGCGUGGCUGUGUUCCAACGCACUUUAUUCCAUGACACUGAAGUUCGAAUUUCAUGUAAUUUUCCCAUCACAAAAUCUCCUUCUUUUGCUUUUAGUUUUUUUUCCAGCCACUUAAUAAUGUAAAAACCAUUCUUAGCUCACAGGUGGGGUUCGGCCCAUGGACUGCAGUGUGCAUCUGACCCCUCAUUCAGGGUCUUGGGCCGAUUGAAUGAGCAGAUGUUUGCAAGUAACUUGGCCUGUUGCUUGACACAGACUAAGUGCUUAGCAUAUAUCAUUAUCAUUAUCAUCAUCAUUAUUAUUAUUAUACGAACACGAUUUUGUAAUGUACUGUCCGAGUUGUCAUUUUUUAAAUGAGGGCUAAUUCUCACCUCACAUACUUGCUGGAGCGUGACUAGGAUGAUCAAUCUAAUUUGUGUGGACUCUAGGAAGAGUCAAAAUUUAGAGACCUUGAAUGCCACAUUGAAAAUAUCUGGGCUUCCUAGACAUGUCACCCUAAGGAGGACAGGGUUUUACUUAUGUGGCAUCCAGUCGGGGAAUGGUUCAUUUAAAUCUCAUCAUGAGGAAACAUCAGACAAACCCAAAUGAGGAAAGUUCCAUUUAAAAGAAAAAAAUGGACUCUACAAAAAAAAGUCAAUGUCAUAAAAGAUAAAGAAAGGUUGUAGGAAUGUUCCAGAUUAAAGGAAACCAAAGAGACACAGCAACUAAAUGCAAUCUGUGAUCUACUACGUCCUGUACUAGAAGGAAGAAAUCUGCAAUAAGGGACUUUAUUGGGUCAAUUGACGAUAUUGGAAUUCAGACGGUAGAUUAGAUAAAAGUAUUGAAUCAGUGUUAAAUUUAGUGAAGAGGAUAACUGGACAGUGGUGACAUAAAAACACCUCUUAUUCUCAGAAAUACACACUGAACUAUUAAAGGUAAAAGGCCGUGAUGUAUACGACAUACUCUAAAGUGGUUCUGGAAAAUAAUUGUGUGGUGUGUCUGAAUAUUUACAUAGAGCAAAUGAUAACAUAAAAUGUUAGCAAUAGGUAAAUCUGAGUAAAGCGUAUACAGG